Molecule: ribosomal RNA, 255 nt
Filed under: uncultured Stenotrophomonas sp.
Lineage: Bacteria; Pseudomonadati; Pseudomonadota; Gammaproteobacteria; Lysobacterales; Lysobacteraceae
Description: partial 16S ribosomal RNA
Rfam family: Bacterial small subunit ribosomal RNA
Source: RNAcentral
GGCGGACGGGUGAGGAAUACAUCGGAAUCUACUCUGUCGUGGGGGAUAACGUAGGGAAACUUACGCUAAUACCGCAUACGACCUACGGGUGAAGCAGGGGAUCUUCGGACCUUGCGCGAUUGAAUGAGCCGAUGUCGGAUUAGCUAGUUGGCGGGGUAAAGGCCCACCAAGGCGACGAUCCGUAGCUGGUCUGAGAGGAUGAUCAGCCACACUGGAACUGAGACACGGUCCAGACUCCUACGGGAGGCAGCAGCU